CCUGUAUUCAAUUUCAUGAAUUCUUUUAUAGUGAAUGUUAUUAUAAUAACUUCAUGUUGCCUUGUCAUCCAUUUUGAAUGCAGGUUUAAUUUUCACUAGAAGAAGGGCUCAGUCACUCUUGACACAGUUUCUAAUUCUAUGCCACACCUAGGAUGCUCAGCCUGGUCACCAGAGAGGACUGAUUUUCUGGCUCAUGCCCUUCUUGUUCAGGAACUGCUGGAGUGCAAUGGCAAGAUCUUGGCUCAUCACAAACUCCGCCUACUGGGUUCAAGUGAUUCUCCUGCCUCAGCCUCCCAAGUAGCUGGGAUUAUAGGUGUGAGCCACUGCAUCCGUCCGAUUGUGCCUUUCUGAAGCAAUAUCUAUGUGUAAAAAUUUGGCAGCUCUCUAUGUCAGGCCUAAUGCCCUAGUGGGUCAAGGAUUUAUUCUAUAACUCAAAUUGUUAAAACCUGUUUUGGAGCUCUGGAGAUUUCUCUUUUACUGUUUUCCCAUACCCAGGAGCAGCUCUCAGUUGGUUCCUGACUAGGCAAACUGCUUUGAACCUUCUCUUUACUUACAGCUGGCACUUACUAUCUCUUCUCUGAUGAAUCCAAGCAUCCUUUCCUAGAAGAUCUGUACAGGAUGUGAGUAUCUACUUACUAUUCUAGCUCUUCUCCAUGUUGGAGGCAUGUACUACCUGUGUCUAGUCAGCCAUCUUGGUGUCUUCUCCAGUAGUUCACUGCUGUGGGAGGAACACCAAAGUAACAUGAAAAAAGGCUUAGAUAAAUAAAGGAGUAAAGGUUUGGGACAGUAAUGAAAUCCACUGCAAGGGUCCAAAUACACCUCAAUGCUGUGGAAUAGCAUUAAAUUCUAUGGAAUAUCAAGAAAAUUAAGGUCAUUUCGGAUUUGGUUAUGACAUAGAUGCUGGAACUUUGAAAUAGUUCUGCAACCAGACAAAAAAGGUAGGCUGUGGUUUCCUUUGUGGAAACCAAAAUAUUUCUUUUUCUUUUUUCAUUAAAACCAAAAUUAUACCUCUAAGAUGAUUAGCAGUUUCUACCUUGGCCUAUCCAGACCUGAAGCCACCAUAUAAGAAUUAAGACUAGGCUUCAGGAAAGACCACAUAGAGAUGCCCUGAGAACCCACUAAAAGAAAGAAGGGGUCAGUUAGCCCAGGGCUUCAGCAAUCUACACCAAAGCAUCAGGCUUUCCAGACAAAAUCAGCUACCAGAUUAAUACCACUGGGUAAAGCAACAUGAGGCAGAAGAACUGGGCGACUUUGUGCUAAUUCCCGACACAUAAAAUUGUGAGGUAUAACAUCACAGUUGUUUUCAUUCACUAAUUCUGUGGGUAGACUGUUAUGCAGCAAUAACAGUCAAAUAACAAGAGCAGAAUUUGGUUCCAGGAAAUGGGAUGCUGUUCUAACAGAAAACAAGACUGUGUGACAUUGGCUUUGAAGCAGGUUGCAGAAUGAGAGCUGGAAGACACUCAAAGAGACUCAGUGCAAGUUGGAAGGGCCUUAUGGAGACUGCUGGGGAAGGCUUGGCGAACAUAAGGACAAUGCUAUUGGAGGCUGGAGAAAAAAACUAGGUCUAUUCUUAUGUUGUGACAGAAGCAACACCAUUGCCUAUGGGAACAGGGAAAAUAUAAAAGAUGCUUUAUAUGCUUCUGAGGUUGAUGGAAAAAAUUUUCUAGGCAACAUACAGAAAGGUUUAACUCACUUUUUUUCUAGCUACCUAUGAGCAGAGAGAUACAAGAAAAAAGAGAUAAGGAAAAAAAUUUUCGUUUUUGAACAAAAUUUACAAAUAAUAUAGAACACCUAGAUGGUCUUUCUAACUUGUGAAAGGCUCUCAAGGGAGGAUUGGCCUCAAGGCAAAGUUCAAACCCAGAUCAACAAAAUUUGAUCUCAGGGUAAAAGUAAAGUCAGAGGGAUGGCUAAGAGACCUUUACUAAGACCUAAGAAAGGUUCAGCUCUCUAAGAAUAUUAAGAAUGGGCUGUAUUAAUCCAAUCUCACUCUGCUAUAAAGAAAUACAUGAGACUGGGCAAAGAAAAGGGGUUUAAUUGGCUCAUGGUUCUGCAGGCUGUACAGGAAGCAUGGCGGGGAGCCCUCAGGAAACUUAGAAUCAUGGUGGAAGGCGAAGAGGAAGCUGGCACAUCUUACAUGGCCAGAGCAGAAGGAGGAGAGCAAGGUGGGGGUGUCAGACACUGUUUUUUUUAACUUUAAGUUCUAGGGCACAUGUGCAGAUCUUGCAGGAUUGUUGCAUAGGUACACACAUGCCAUGAUGGUUUGCUACCUCAAUCCCCCCAUCACCUACAUUAGGUAUUUCUCCUAAUGACAUCCCUCCCCAAGCUGCCCACCUCCUGCUAUCCCUCCCCUAGCCCUUCACCCCUCAACAGACCCCAGUGUGUUAUGUCCCCCUCCUUGUGUCUGUGUUCUCAUUGUUUAACACUUACUUAUGACUGAGAAUAUGCUGUGUUUCAUUUUCUGUUCCUGUGUCAGUUUGCUGAGAAUGAUUGUUUCCAGUUGUAUCCAUGUCCCUGCAAAGGACAUGAACUCAUCCUUUUUUAUGGCUGCAUAGUAUUCAAUGGUAUAUAUGUGCCAUAUUUUUUUUAAUCCAGUCUGUCUUUGAUGGGCAUUCAAAGACUUUGAUGGCUCCAAGUCUUUGCUAUUGUAAACAGUGCCACAAUGAACAUACUUGUACCUGUGUCUUUAUAAUCCUUUGGGUAUAUACCCAGUAAUGGGAUUGCUGGGUCAAACGGAUUUUCCAUUUCUAGGUCCUUGAGGAAGCACCACACUGUCUUCCACAAUGGUUGAACUAAUUUACACUCCCAUUAACAGUGUAAAAGCAUUCCUGUUUCUCCAUAUACUCUCCAGCAUCUGUUGUCUCUAGAUGUUUUAAUGAUCGCCAUUCUAACUGGCAUGAGAUGGUAUCUCAAUGUGGUUUUGAUUUGCAUUUCUCUAAUGACCAGUGAUAAUGAGCAU
Callithrix jacchus (white-tufted-ear marmoset) is the source of this 2956-nucleotide long non-coding RNA. RefSeq lists it as uncharacterized. The record is from RefSeq and is a predicted model, not a curated record. Lineage: Eukaryota; Metazoa; Chordata; Mammalia; Primates; Cebidae.